This 30-nucleotide non-coding RNA is filed under the name Homo sapiens (human). The record is from RNAcentral. Lineage: Eukaryota; Metazoa; Chordata; Mammalia; Primates; Hominidae.
AGGAGUCACGCAGCAGAAGGCUGGAGUCAA